CUCCUGGGCAUUCUGACGGGUCAUGGAAUGGCUGCAUUGCUCCUCCUCCAAUCUUUUUUUAUAGUCAACUUCCUGACAACAAAAAUUGGGCUAUAAUCUGAGUGGCCAAGAGUAUCCUAGUUUCCUGCACAGCUCUCCCUCCAUAGCCUUUUGACAGAUAUGGGAAGACUGAAUAUGUUUACGCAAGCAGAUAACAGCAACUGAGCUUACCCGUGCUUCCUUGAUUUCAAGUUGACAUGACUCAUGAGACACAGAGACAGCAGGUGGAGAGGACAACUGUGCUGCCAGUUUUGCAUCUUUUGGUGUUGCAGAUGAAGGUG
Pomacea canaliculata is the source of this 320-nucleotide long non-coding RNA. RefSeq lists it as uncharacterized. Lineage: Eukaryota; Metazoa; Mollusca; Gastropoda; Architaenioglossa; Ampullariidae. The transcript has 3 exons. The record is from RefSeq and is a predicted model, not a curated record.